CCCUAAUCAGGCGAGAGGAUAUAUAUAAAGAUAAAACGCAGGGCGAGAGGAUAUAUACAAAGAUAAAAGAUCAGGACGAAACGCAAUCGAUUGCACAACUUAUUGCCGCUGGACACCAUCCACAUCAUCGCCUUCCGAAGCACAAACACCGUCCCAUCGCCGCCGUAACGCCGAUCGACUCGCAGAUCACACCAGCAACAGCGCCCUCCUCUCGUCGCAGCAACAGCGCCCUCCGUUCUCUGAGUAUCGCACGAAAUGGCAGGCCAAUAUGCUUAUUUUGCAUGUUUUCAAAACCUCUAUCGUGUUAAAAUUAAAAUUCCUUCCUCUCCUUCAUCGUGCGAAGAAGAAGUCAAGCUUGAGCUUGUAGCUUCCGAUCUUCCAUACUUUAUGGCACUCUUCAAUCAUGGACAUACUCUGUAUGCUGUUGGUGGCGUAGACGGCGUAGACCUAUAUACAGAAUCAUAUAGGCGCCAGAGGUUGAUUUUUGACUUUGAUCCCAGUAGGUUCCCCCAAUUACCUAUCGAAAAUCCUGACAGUCUCACCGGUCGAUUUUCAAUCCAUGGAGUGUCCUCGUGUGAUUCGAGGAGAUGAUGACCGAAUUUACCUACUCUCGAAGAACCAUAGUUGCUUUAAGCCUAUACUCGAGGGGCAAUUCUGUUUCCAGUCUUUUGAUUUCGUCAAAGAUUGCUUUGAAACCCUUCCACCCCCUCCUCUCGCACCUGAUCAUGCCUUAGAUUUAGAUCGCACCUUAGAUCGCUUCUUCACACUGGGCCACUUUGUUCUUAGGGGAUAUCUAUAUUUGCUCAUUAGUAACCCACUGAGUUCCAAAUACCCUAAGAGUGCCUUUACUUUCAACAUCAAAUCCUCAAAAUGGGAGGAGAAGUCUUUGCUAGCCCAAUUUGAAGAGAAGGAAAUUCCUCCUCCCUUUGGUCACAAUGGUGACAUAGGGCUUUCAGAUGAAUUUUCUGAAAAUAUUCUGAUGGAUUCUGGUUGCCUAUUGUUAUACUGAGCUUUAUGCAUAUUGUGUCAAGAUUCAUGCGGAAGGUGUUCUUGAGUUCAUAUCUUACCGGGCUAUAAAUGAAAUUCAUUGUGUUGGAGAGGAUGGGGAUGGCUUAAAAUGUGAUCUGACACAACUAGCUGACCUGGGAGGUGACAAAUUUUGUGUGGUUACUGGUUCCCAUGCGAUAGAUGUCUUAAUCUACGUGUUCGAAAUAAAUUUUGAUCUUGAAUAUCACAUUCAAUCCUCCCGAAGUAGAGUUGGAGCCUCCUCAGGAAUCCUUUACUACAAGAAAUUCCAGCCUGGGAGUAAUAUUCAAUCUUUUUGUAUUGUCUCUGCCCCUCCAGCAAUUGAAGACCAAGACAGGGUGGAGAACACAACUAAAAGGGAGAGAAGUGGGGAUGAAACCGUGCAUAAGGCCAAGUUCCUCCGUUCUUUAUGAGUGGUGUGUUGUUUGAUGUGGGCAUGGCCAUGCUUGGUGCCUUGGACCGACCAUCUUUUUAAUUCAGCUUUAGUUGUGAAUGGCCAGAAGUUUACUUUUUUGGGUUUAUGUACAUAUUCAUAAGCUUUUUUAUUGAACCAUGAAUUUGUAGUUAUAUGCCUUGGCACAGAAACUUAACUGCCAACUAUUGUUUUGUUUCUACCUUUUACAACACAAGGCAAAUUAUAUGGGGGAUGAAUCUGUUCUGGAGCUUAUGGAAUGCUAAAAAGUUAAUUUAGCUGUUCAUUAUGUAUAGAGAAAUGGUGCAUAUUUACUCUUAACAGUAUAUUAUAUUUUACAUAUAUGCCCCAUCUA
Ipomoea triloba (trilobed morning glory) is the source of this 1793-nucleotide long non-coding RNA. RefSeq lists it as uncharacterized. The record is from RefSeq and is a predicted model, not a curated record. NCBI's taxonomy places the organism in Eukaryota, Viridiplantae, Streptophyta, Magnoliopsida, Solanales, Convolvulaceae. The transcript is spliced from 5 exons.